RNAcentral lists this ribosomal RNA (254 nucleotides) under uncultured bacterium. Its description in RNAcentral is "partial 16S ribosomal RNA". It matches the Rfam family "Bacterial small subunit ribosomal RNA", at positions 524 to 776 of the family's 1533-position model. The record is from RNAcentral.
UACGGGGGGAGCGAGCGUUGUUCGGAUUUACUGGGCGGAAAGGGCGCGUAGGCGGUCGUGACAAGUCACUUGUGAAAUCUCCGGGCUUAACUCGGAAAGGUCAAGUGAUACUGUCGGACUAGAGUACAGAAGGGGCAACUGGAAUUCUCGGUGUAGCGGUGAAAUGCGUAGAUAUCGAGAGGAACACCUGCGGCGAAGGCGGGUUGCUGGGCUGAUACUGACGCUGAGGCGCGAAAGCUAGGGGAGCGAACGGG